RNAcentral lists this ribosomal RNA (490 nucleotides) under uncultured bacterium. Its description in RNAcentral is "partial 16S ribosomal RNA". It matches the Rfam family "Bacterial small subunit ribosomal RNA", at positions 30 to 507 of the family's 1533-position model. The record is from RNAcentral.
AUUGAACGCUGGCGGCAUGCUUUACACAUGCAAGUCGAACGGCAGCGGGGUAGUGCUUGCACUACUGCCGGCGAGUGGCGGACGGGUGAGUAAUAUAUCGGAACGUACCGAGUAAUGGGGGAUAACCAAUCGAAAGAUUGGCUAAUACCGCAUACGUCCUGAGGGAGAAAGCGGGGGAUCGCAAGACCUCGCGUUAUUCGAGCGGCCGAGAGCUGAUUAGCUAGUUGGUGGGGUAAAGGCCUACCAAGGCGACGAUCAGUAGCGGGUCUGAGAGGACGAUCGGCCACACUGGGACUUAGACACGGCCCAGGCUCCUACGGGAGGCAGCAGUGGGGAACUUUGGACAAUGGGGGCAAACCUGGUCCAGCCAUGCCGCGUGUAUGAAAGAGGCCUUCGGGUUGUAAAGUACUUUUGUUAGGGAAGAAAAGGGAAGUGCUAAGACCACUUUUUGCUGACGGUACCUAAAGAAUAAGCACCGGCUAACUACGUG